Molecule: unclassified non-coding RNA, 373 nt
Filed under: uncultured fungus
Lineage: Eukaryota; Fungi
Description: sequence contains ITS1
Rfam family: 5.8S ribosomal RNA (bases 1-105)
Source: RNAcentral
AAUGCGAUACUUGGUGUGAAUUGCAUAAUCCCAUGAACCAUCGAGUCUUUGAACGCAAGUAGCGCCCGAAGCCUUCGAGCCGAGGGUACGUCUGCCUGGGCGUCACGCAUCGCGUCUCCCCCCCACACGCACUCCGUGCGGGGCGAGGGGGAGGAGGAUGGUCUCCCAUGCCUCACCAGGUAUGGCAGGCCUAAUAACGGAGCCUCGGGUCACGGACUGCUGCGGCGUAUGGUGGUAUACAAGGCCUUUCCUAGGAAGCAUCGUGUCGUGCAGCACGUAGCCCGCGAGGACUCGAAGGACCCUGAAGUUUGUCACCUCACGGAGGCAAAACCGUUGCGACCCCAGGUCAGGCGGGGCUACCCGGUGAGUUUAA